Molecule: non-coding RNA, 2073 nt
Organism: Microcebus murinus (gray mouse lemur)
Lineage: Eukaryota; Metazoa; Chordata; Mammalia; Primates; Cheirogaleidae
Source: RefSeq, a predicted model, not a curated record
CAGCCUCCUAGAGUGCUAGGAUUACAGGCAUGAGCCACAGUGCCUGGCUGGUCCCUGACUCUUGAAAGCAUCUCUCAAUACGUCCUGAGUCUAACUGGGCUCGGGACAUAGUGGUGCUCCCUUUGUCUUCUUGGCUCGGGGAUUUUGGUAACAGGAGAUAAGUGUGAAGAUUGCAUGGAUAUGCCCAUGUCUCUCAGUUUUUCCAUUUGUGAAGUUGGGGUGGGUAGUUGCUUAAAUUCAUCUCUAAGAUAUGGACUAGAAAUUCAAGGAAGACCUUAGGGAUUCAUUUAAUAGCACAGAAACUACAUAGAAUUCCCUUCCUCCCACCACCACCUUCUCUGCCCAGUAAACUCCUCUCCUCUCAAAACACAUUUCAAACAUCUCCUCCCUGGGCUUCUCUGCAGUCAGUCAUCUGUCUUCUCUGUUCCUGUAGCAGAGUCUCGGCCUGUAUUGACGGCCCCACCCAUUGUGAUGGACGACGUUUUCUGGGUGGGGGAAAUCGGUCCUGUGUCUCCCUUCCAGAUAACCUUUCCAUUUUCCCAGAACUCCUCAGUGUAAAUGUGGAUAAUGCAGAAAUACAGGGAGCAGAGAUUGUGAGCAGAAGAGAAAGGGAAGUGAAGUAACAUUCACUGAGUCUCUAUAAUGCACCUGUCAGGUGCUUCAUGUGUGUUAUUUCAUGUGAAGCCCUUACUUAAAAAUGGCCUCUCCCACAAUAACUCCCAUCCCUACACACACACUGCUUUUUCCAGCUAUGACACCUGUGAUCCUGCCAUUUCUCCCUCCUGGGACACCUUUCCUCCUGCCUGUUUCUUCCUGGGUUCCUCUUGUGUGCUCGUCUCCAUACCCAGGACCUAGUAGCCUGGGGGUUUGCCUGCCCCAGAGGAAGGUGGUCAUUGUACCCAGCCACAUGGUUAGGAUCUGCACUUAGAGUUCAGAGAGACAAAAAGCUCAAAGGAAGAGCCUGCCUGGCCCCUCCUAGCCUGAGAACAGUAGGACCCAUUCAACCAGAGACUCCCUUGUUCCAAGACUCUAGAGUUGUUCAAAGUUUUGUGAUGAUGGCUGGCCCUGGAAUGUUGACUCACCUCUUCUAAGAUUCUAGAACUCUGAGAUUCUGCAAACAAGGGAGAGGGCUUCUGCUUUAGGAUGUGAUUGGUCUCUGCCACCUCUCUGGGGGUCACCUGGCCUCAGGACUCCAGACAGGCCCCCUGGGGCCAGGACCAGCCUGGAGGAAAGCCCCGACUUGCCCCUGUCUUCAGGUCUGCUGUGGCAGAUGAAUUCUCAUUCAUAAUUGAUCCAGUUGCUUGGCAAGCAGGGGCUGCAGGCUAAUUUGGGUUGAUUUCUGUCUCUUGCAACCAAGAAGUCCCUGACUCAUAUAGUCCCAUGGAGGAGCUGGCCCUUUAAGGGAAUGACUACAUUUCACCCUCACCAGAAUCCUGAGAAGUUGGCAGGGCAAUGCCAUGUUGCAGGUCUCAGCUCAAAUGCCACCUCCUCCGAGAUGCCCUCCCUGUGUCCCUGCCCUUCUCUGCGCUCCCGCAGGUCCCUGGACUGCCCCCGCACAGUUGUGCUGGCAUCGCCUGCAGACCUGGCUCGUUCUCCGCUCCCCCGGCGGCCUGGGCGCUCCUCAAGGGCAAGGGCAGUCCUCUCGGUGGUGGCAGCUCUGCCUCACGCAGGUUCAGGCAUGGUAGAGACACUCGCUGAUGUUUGCUGAAUGAGUACAUGAAUAAAUGUCCCCCUCCGGUUCUGCGCCAGCUCUGGACGCUUGCCCCACAGGGGAGAGGGCACAGGUGACAGAGUUCAAGGUCACCAAUGGCCGGUGCGGUGGGACACCCGUCCUAGGGUCCAGCCGUACCUCAGCACAGCCCUCCUGCCCGCGUUGCCAAGGCCCUGUCAGGGACGUGACAAACAGCUUGGCUGAUGGCUUAUAAUGUCAGGGAUGAUGGAAACAGGGAGGCAACGGCUGAAAGAAUGGGCUGGGGACGCUUGUCAUAACUUUAUUUGUGGGAGAUGAGGAAACCGACGCCUGAAGAGAGGAAAUAACAUACCCAUGUUCCCCAAGAAGGAAGUCGAAGACCC